Molecule: long non-coding RNA, 1120 nt
Filed under: Mytilus galloprovincialis (Mediterranean mussel)
Lineage: Eukaryota; Metazoa; Mollusca; Bivalvia; Mytilida; Mytilidae
Source: RNAcentral
UUUCUUCUGUUUAUUAUUAUUAUUAUUAUUAGGUCUUUCCACUUUUCCGUGGAAAGACCUAUUGGAUUUCUUCUGAUUAUUAUUAUUAUUAGGUCUUUCCACCUUUCGUGUGGAAAGACCUAUUGAUUUUGUUCUGAUUGUUUUUUUUUUUCUUCCGCCUAAUUUUUUUCUUGCGGUGUAAAAAUGUUUCAAAAGAUGUCGCUUAGUUUUUUUGUAUAUGAGAUCAUACAGUGUAUACGCUUUUGAAACUCACCCUGUUUAACCGAACACUUUUCUUUGUAAGAGUUAUCUCCCCAAACACUGUUUUUCUUGUUAUCAGAUCUCCUCCGCAACCGUAAAAGAAAGCGACAAAUUUAUUUUUCCAAAUUGCUCGUUAUAUCCUCAGGAUGUUACGUUUUAUUUUGACCGAAGCUUUACGAAGAUCCCAUAUGAGAGUAAUUUCCCCUUUUUUAUUGAAAUAAGUGAAAUAAAUUUGUAACUGGAAAACCAUAAGUGAUAGAGGCCUAGGGUCUUUUGAUUUGAGGCCCUUGCUCAAAAAGUAUGAAAAUGAGGUCAAGGUCAAAGGUCAAGGUCAUGUUCAAAUUUUUGAUUUUGGCUUGUUAUCUCUUAUUUUCAGAAAUCAUACAAGAUAUCGACAAAAUAUUUUCACACAAUUGUUAGUUGCGACAUGUCGUAACAUGUAAAUUUUACUUAAAAGGGUACGUAACAUUUAAUGCGAGUUUUGCCACCUUUUAUAUCUAAUAUAAGUUGUAUGGUAAUAUAACUCAUUAACAAUAUAAAGUAGAGGCCUAGAGUCUUUUGAUUUGAGGUCCUUGGUUGAUGACCUUGAAAUUGAGCUCAAGGUCAUAGGUAAAUUUAACGUUCUAGAUUUUGACCUUUGCUUUUUCCUCUUAUAUAUACAUGAUAAAGCCAUGGGACUUUUGGCAAAAGGUUGCAAGCAAUGUGACCUUGAAAAAGCCAACCGGAAGUGACCUUUUGUAAACCAGAAGUAGCCAUUUUUUGAACUAAUUUAAUGUAAAAGUAUAUAGAACCAUCUAUUUUUGGAAUCAGUGUCAAGUAAACUAUCAAAACAUACCGGAAAUAACAUCUUUUAAACCGGAAGUAAAAAAUGAUCUCCCUU